UAACUCUGGUUUCCCUUCAAAACGCAUAAAUCUUUCGCCUUUUACUAAAGGUUUCCGUGGAGGGGAACAACUUAGUGUCUUAUUCAAUUUUAUUCUAUAGCCCACUUUGGUGGGUUC
Molecule: small nuclear RNA, 117 nt
Filed under: Penaeus monodon (black tiger shrimp)
Lineage: Eukaryota; Metazoa; Arthropoda; Malacostraca; Decapoda; Penaeidae
Description: U5 spliceosomal RNA
Rfam family: U5 spliceosomal RNA
About the family: U5 RNA is a component of both types of known spliceosome.
Source: RNAcentral